GGCGCGGCGCGGCGCGGCUCCGGAAUCCGACUGUCGACGCCUGGGGCGGGCGCCGUCCGCCGUCGGCGGCGCCACCAGUCUAGGGCACCAGCGCGCCACCUGCGAGCCAGGCCGACGCAUCGCGACAAAUGUCACCAACCUGUGAAGCAGUUGUAAACGCGGCUGAACAUGGAAAUCACUUGAACUGCUCGACCAGAACUACGUAUGCUACUACCUACUUUCAAUGGGAGGACCUGGGUUGCUUCUCUGACUACCGGAGGCUUGGGUCCGUGUCCGUAGAACCACAGAACACAGACCUGGACCAGUGAUUUGGAAGGUGACUGAAGUGAACACGCAUCUGGAGAAAACAUUUACAUUCAUGGGAUUCGUGCCGUGGUUACCGAAGUUUAGUGCAUAGAGCUAGAAACUACUACGGGGUACGUGUGUAC
Long non-coding RNA from Schistocerca cancellata (South American locust), 428 nucleotides. RefSeq lists it as uncharacterized. The record is from RefSeq and is a predicted model, not a curated record. NCBI's taxonomy places the organism in Eukaryota, Metazoa, Arthropoda, Insecta, Orthoptera, Acrididae. The transcript is spliced from 4 exons.